Molecule: ribosomal RNA, 794 nt
Filed under: uncultured archaeon
Lineage: Archaea
Description: bacterial SSU rRNA
Rfam family: Archaeal small subunit ribosomal RNA
Source: RNAcentral
GGACUAGACAUGCUAGUUUAGCGUCUUCAAGCUAUGAUGGAGACGCGGCGCACAGCUCAGUAACACGUGGCCAACCUGCCCUUAGGACAAGUAUAACCCCGGGAAACUGGGGAUAAUCCUUGAUAGGUGAGGAAUUCUGGAAUGAGUCUUUGCUUAAAGGACGUGCAGAUCACGCUUCUGUGCGUUGCCUAAGGAUGGGGCCGCGGCCGAUCAGGUUGUUGGUGAGGUAACGGCUCACCAAGCCUAUAACCGGUACGGGCCGUGAAAGCGGAAGCCCGGAGAUGGGCACUGAGACAAGGGCCCAGGCCCUACGGGGCGCAGCAGUCGCGAAAACUCCGCAAUACGCGAAAGCGUGACGGGGCUAUCCCGAGUGCUAUUCGAUGAGAGUAGCUUUUCCUCAGUGUAAAGUGCUGGGGGAAUAAGGAGGGGGCAAGACUGGUGUCAGCCGCCGCGGUAAUACCAGCUCUCCGAGUGAUAGGGACGUUUAUUGGGCCUAAAGCAUCCGUAGCUUGCUGAGUCUGUCCUCCGUUAAAUCCAACGAUUUAAUCGUUGGGCUGCGGGGGAUACUGCUUAGCUAGGAGGCGGGAGAGGCCGACGGUAUUUCCGGGGUAGGGGUGAAAAUCCUAUAAUCCCGGGACGACCACCAGUGGCGAAGGCUGUCGGCUAGAACGCGCCUCGACGGUGAGGGAUGAAAGCUGGGGGAGCAACCGGAAUUAAAUACCCNGGUAGUCCAGCUNUAAACGAUGCAGGCUAGGUGUUGGUGUGGCUACNANCCGCUCCAAUGCCCCAGGGAA